Molecule: ribosomal RNA, 484 nt
Filed under: uncultured bacterium
Lineage: Bacteria
Description: partial 16S ribosomal RNA
Rfam family: Bacterial small subunit ribosomal RNA
Source: RNAcentral
GAUGAACGCUGGCGGCGUGCCUAACACAUGCAAGUCGAACGGAAAGGCGCUGCUUUCAGCGUACUCGCGUGGGGAGCGGGUGAGUAAAACGCAGGUGAUCAGCCCCGCUCUUCGGGAUAAGCCCGGGAAACUGGGGAUAAUUACGGCCAGGAGCCAUCUUUAGAGUGAUGGUUGGAUAGUUUCUUCGGGGUAUGAUGUGCGCGCGGGUUAUCUGCGAGUGGGUGGGGUAACGGCUUACCCAAGCGGCGAUGAGUAGCCGAGCUGAGAGGGUGAGCCGCCACACUGGGACUGAGACACGGCCCAGACUCCGACGGGAGGCAGCAGUGGGGACUUUUGGCCAAUGGGCGAAAGCCUGAUCAAGCAACGCCGCGUGUGUGAAGAAGGGCUUCGGGUUGUAAAACGCUUUUGUGAGGGAAGAAAUCUUUCGCUAUGAACCAGGCGGGUUGUGACGGUACCUAAAGAAGAAGCACCGGCUAACUACGUG